GACGAACGCUGGCGGCGUGCUUUAGGCAUGCAAGUCGAACGCGAAAGCCCCUUCGGGGGUGAGUAGAGUGGCGAACGGGUGAGUAACACGUGGGUAACCUGCCCCUCGCAGGGGGAUAACCGGGGGAAACCCCGGCUAAUACCCCGUACGCUUGCUGGGGCGCAUGCUCCGGCAAGGAAAGGUAGCUUCGGCCAUCCGGCGAGGGAGGGGCCCGCGGCCCAUUAGCUAGUUGGUGGGGUAACGGCCCACCAAGGCGACGAUGGGUAGCUGGCCUGAGAGGGUGGUCAGCCACACUGGGACUGAGACACGGCCCAGACUCCUACGGGAGGCAGCAGCCAGGAAUCUUGCGCAAUGGGCGAAAGCCUGACGCAGCAACGCCGCGUGGGCGAUGAAGGCCUUCGGGUCGUAAAGCCCUGUUGUCGGGGACGAAGGGCGAAGGGUUAAGAGCCCCUAGCCUGACGGUACCCGACGAGGAAGCCCCGGCUAACUACGUG
This 494-nucleotide ribosomal RNA is filed under the name uncultured bacterium. RNAcentral's name for it is "partial 16S ribosomal RNA". It matches the Rfam family "Bacterial small subunit ribosomal RNA", at positions 28 to 507 of the family's 1533-position model. The record is from RNAcentral.